RNAcentral lists this ribosomal RNA (824 nucleotides) under uncultured organism. Its description in RNAcentral is "SSU rRNA". It matches the Rfam family "Bacterial small subunit ribosomal RNA", at positions 31 to 848 of the family's 1533-position model. The record is from RNAcentral.
GAACGCUAGCUACAGGCUUAACACAUGCAAGUCGAGGGGCAGCAUGGUCUUAGCUUGCUAAGGCCGAUGGCGACCGGCGCACGGGUGAGUAACACGUAUCCAACCUGCCGUCUACUCUUGGACAGCCUUCUGAAAGGAAGAUUAAUACAAGAUGGCAUCAUGAGUUCACAUGUUCACAUGAUUAAAGGUAUUCCGGUAGACGAUGGGGAUGCGUUCCAUUAGAUAGUAGGCGGGUAACGGCCCACCUAGUCUUCGAUGGAUAGGGGUUCUGAGAGGAAGGUCCCCCACAUUGGAACUGAGACACGGUCCAAACUCCUACGGGAGGCAGCAGUGAGGAAUAUUGGUCAAUGGGCGCAGGCCUGAACCAGCCAAGUAGCGUGAAGGAUGACUGCCCUAUGGGUUGUAAACUUCUUUUAUGAAGGAAUAAAGUCGGGUAUGUAUACCCGUUUGCAUGUACUUUAUGAAUAAGGAUCGGCUAACUCCGUGCCAGCAGCCGCGGUAAUACGGAGGAUCCGAGCGUUAUCCGGAUUUAUUGGGUUUAAAGGGAGCGUAGAUGGAUGUUUAAGUCAGUUGUGAAAGUUUGCGGCUCAACCGUAAAAUUGCAGUUGAUACUGGAUAUCUUGAGUGCAGUUGAGGCAGGCGGAAUUCGUGGUGUAGCGGUGAAAUGCUUAGAUAUCACGAAGAACUCCGAUUGCGAAGGCAGCCUGCUAAGCUGCAACUGACAUUGAGGCUCGAAAGUGUGGGUAUCAAACAGGAUUAGAUACCCUGGUAGUCCACACGGUAAACGAUGAAUACUCGCUGUUUGCGAUAUACAGCAAGCGGCC